UGCAGUUUGCCGAGUCACGUGUGAAGAUGC
Molecule: non-coding RNA, 30 nt
Filed under: Rattus norvegicus (Norway rat)
Lineage: Eukaryota; Metazoa; Chordata; Mammalia; Rodentia; Muridae
Source: RNAcentral